ACGCUGGCGGCGUGCCUAAUACAUGCAAGUAGAACGCUGAAGAGAGGAGCUUGCUCUUCUUGGAUGAGUUGCGAACGGGUGAGUAACGCGUAGGUAACCUGCCUUGUAGCGGGGGAUAACUAUUGGAAACGAUAGCUAAUACCGCAUAACAAUGGAUGACACAUGUCAUUUAUUUGAAAGGGGCAAUUGCUCCACUACAAGAUGGACCUGCGUUGUAUUAGCUAGUAGGUGAGGUAACGGCUCACCUAGGCGACGAUACAUAGCCGACCUGAGAGGGUGAUCGGCCACACUGGGACUGAGACACGGCCCAGACUCCUACGGGAGGCAGCAGUAGGGAAUCUUCGGCAAUGGGGGCAACCCUGACCGAGCAACGCCGCGUGAGUGAAGAAGGUUUUCGGAUCGUAAAGCUCUGUUGUAAGUCAAGAACGAGUGUGAGAGUGGAAAGUUCACACUGUGACGGUAGCUUACCAGAAAGGGACGGCUAACUACGUGCCAGCAGCCGCGGUAAUACGUAGGUCCCGAGCGUUGUCCGGAUUUAUUGGGCGUAAAGCGAGCGCAGGCGGUUUGAUAAGUCUGAAGUUAAAGGCUGUGGCUCAACCAUAGUUCGCUUUGGAAACUGUCAAACUUGAGUGCAGAAGGGGAGAGUGGAAUUCCAUGUGUAGCGGUGAAAUGCGUAGAUAUAUGGAGGAACACCGGUGGCGAAAGCGGCUCUCUGGUCUGUAACUGACGCUGAGGCUCGGAAGCGUGGGGAGCGAACAGGAUUAGAUACCCUGGUAGUCCACGCCGUAAACGAUGAGUGCUAGGUGUUGGAUCCUUUCCGGGAUUCAGUGCCGCAGCUAACGCAUUAAGCACUCCGCCUGGGGAGUACGACCGCAAGGUUGAAACUCAAAGGAAUUGACGGGGGCCCGCAC
Molecule: ribosomal RNA, 911 nt
Filed under: uncultured bacterium
Lineage: Bacteria
Description: bacterial SSU rRNA
Rfam family: Bacterial small subunit ribosomal RNA
Source: RNAcentral